UUGAACGCUGGCGGCAGGCCUAACACAUGCACGUCGAGCGGAUGAAGGGAGCUUGCUCCUGGAUUCAGCGGCGGACGGGUGAGUAAUGCCUAGGAAUCUGCCUGGUAGUGGGGGAUAACGUCCGGAAACGGGCGCUAAUACCGCAUACGUCCUGAGGGAGAAAGUGGGGGAUCUUCGGACCUCACGCUAUCAGAUGAGCCUAGGUCGGAUUAGCUAGUUGGUGGGGUAAAGGCCUACCAAGGCGACGAUCCGUAACUGGUCUGAGAGGAUGAUCAGUCACACUGGAACUGAGACACGGUCCAGACUCCUACGGGAGGCAGCAGUGGGGAAUAUUGGACAAUGGGCGAAAGCCUGAUCCAGCCAUGCCGCGUGUGUGAAGAAGGUCUCCGGAUUGUAAAGCACUUUAAGUUGGGAGGAAGGGCAGUAAGUUAAUACCUUGCUGUUUUGACGUUACCAACAGAAUAAGCACCGGCUAACUUCGUG
Molecule: ribosomal RNA, 483 nt
Filed under: uncultured bacterium
Lineage: Bacteria
Description: partial 16S ribosomal RNA
Rfam family: Bacterial small subunit ribosomal RNA
Source: RNAcentral